AGGAAUCCAGUGUUCAGGCAGGGGCAAAGUAGCUUGCUACUUUUGCCGGCGAGCCGGCGGACGGGUGAGUAAUGCCUGGGAAAUUGCCCAGUCGAGGGGGAUAACAGUUGGAAACGACUGCUAAUACCGCAUACGCCCUACGGGGGAAAGCAGGGGACCUUCGGGCCUUGCGCGAUUGGAUAUGCCCAGGUGGGAUUAGCUAGUUGGUGAGGUAAUGGCUCACCAAGGCGACGAUCCCUAGCUGGUCUGAGAGGAUGAUCAGCCACACUGGAACUGAGACACGGUCCAGACUCCUACGGGAGGCAGCAGUGGGGAAUAUUGCACAAUGGGGGAAACCCUGAUGCAGCCAUGCCGCGUGUGUGAAGAAGGCCUUCGGGUUGUAAAGCACUUUCAGCGAGGAGGAAACGGUCCGGUCACGCUAAUAUCUGCUGGCUGUGACGUUACUCGCAGAAGAAGCACCGGCUAACUCCGUGCCAGCAGCCGACGGUACAUACGGAGGGUGCAAGCGUUAAUCAGGAAUUACUGGGCGUAAAGCGCACGCAGGCGGAUGGAUAAGUUAGAUGUGAAAGCCCCGGGACUCAACACUGGGAAUUGCAUUUAAAAACUGUACAGACUAGAAGUCUUGUAGACGGGGGGUAGAAUUCCAGAGUGUAGCGGUGAACACAU
This 666-nucleotide ribosomal RNA is filed under the name Aeromonas sp. C15. RNAcentral's name for it is "bacterial SSU rRNA". It matches the Rfam family "Bacterial small subunit ribosomal RNA", at positions 44 to 691 of the family's 1533-position model. Lineage: Bacteria; Pseudomonadati; Pseudomonadota; Gammaproteobacteria; Aeromonadales; Aeromonadaceae. The record is from RNAcentral.